GCCGUUCUGGAUCUGGUUGGAGCUUUGUUUCCGUGAUACGCCGCUCCAUUCCUAACCAGGAUCAUUUCUGACGGCAACAGAUGCUGGAUGCAAAAGAAAGCUGCGUGAGCAGGAGGAAUAACUCAGUCACGAGGAAACCCCUUAGAGGAUGGACAGCCCCCUUAUUCUUAUAGGAUGAGCCAGCCAGGACCACUCGGCCAGAAGCAGUUUCGAUGGUGCCCACACGUGCCCCUGAGGGGAGAGGGCGACGAGGGGGUGCUUCAAGGACCUCAGAUUAUGAGGAUAAUUGUAACAGUUACACAGCAUGCACCCAAGUGAUGCAGGUCAAGAGGUUGAACUGGCCGUGCUCAGGAAGCUGCCUCUACAGCACGUGACCCCCCAGGCCCAGCCCUGCCUCUCCUGUCCCCGCAGGUAACAGCUCCUGUGAUUUGGGGAGAGCGUCUUUGCUUGUCUCUAU
Bos indicus x Bos taurus (hybrid cattle) is the source of this 457-nucleotide long non-coding RNA. The record is from Ensembl. Lineage: Eukaryota; Metazoa; Chordata; Mammalia; Artiodactyla; Bovidae.